UACGGAGGGUGCAAGCGUUAUCCGGAAUCACUGGGUUUAAAGGGUGCGUAGGCGGUGGCGUAAGUCAGUCGUGAAAUACUUCGGCUCAACCGACAGAACUGCGAUUGAUACUGUGUCACUUGAAUCAGGAUGAGGCAGGCGGAAUGUGGCAUGUAGCGGUGAAAUGCUUAGAUAUGCCAUAGAACACCGAUUGCGAAGGCAGCUUGCUGGACCUGCAUUGACGCUGAGGCACGAAAGCGUGGGGAGCAAACAGG
This 254-nucleotide ribosomal RNA is filed under the name uncultured bacterium. RNAcentral describes it as "partial 16S ribosomal RNA". It matches the Rfam family "Bacterial small subunit ribosomal RNA", at positions 524 to 776 of the family's 1533-position model. The record is from RNAcentral.